Molecule: long non-coding RNA, 627 nt
Organism: Panthera uncia (snow leopard)
Lineage: Eukaryota; Metazoa; Chordata; Mammalia; Carnivora; Felidae
Exons: 3
Source: RefSeq, a predicted model, not a curated record
CCACUCUGCAGAUCCUAACUUUGGCUAUUGUUUUUUCUGCCCUCUGGUCUUGAGGAAUUCUGCAUAACUCAGACAAGGAAAAACAGACGAACUUGAGAACGAAUUUGUUUUGCUAAAAAUUGAUGCACGCACCCCCACCAAAGGUGUUACUUAGAAGAGCCUUAACUUUCCCAAUGGGAUGAAAUUUUGUUACCGUUUUAUUUAUUAGUGUUUCACUUUGCUUCACUGAACAUGAGAGAAUAGAGCUAUAAAAGUUCGCCGAGAGCAUUUUCAUAGUGGGCCUCUCCUCUUUGAAAAAAUAAUUCUUGCCUUAAACUUCACAACUGCCUUAUGAAAACUCUUCAGGCUUAACUCUAAAGUCUGUGCAGGCAGAAUGGAGAUCAUGUUUUUAAAAACAUUCGCAGGCUUUCUCUUUUUUUGCCUUUUCCCACACGCACGUGAGCCCAAGGUGUCCGUCUGCCACCAAGAGAUGUCGGAGAGUGAGACUUAGGAAGAUUCACUUGUUAGAGAAGAAAUGCAACCGCGAACAAAGACUUUUCAGUUGCUGACAUUUAAAUGGCAUUUCGCAAGAAGACAAUAGGCAAAAAUGCUUGAAAGUCUGUCAAAAACAAAGGCCCGUCUAAACUC